This is a long non-coding RNA of Gallus gallus (chicken), 4071 nucleotides long. Lineage: Eukaryota; Metazoa; Chordata; Aves; Galliformes; Phasianidae. The record is from Ensembl.
AAAGUAGUACUCUGGAUUCAGUAGCUGGACACUAGUUCCAUAUUUAAUAUUACUCUUGUUCUGCCUGCUUCAGAAAGCCUAGUGGGAUAAGAAAAGGCUUGUUGUAUCACACAACUUAUUGCUUCCUACGUAUGGAGCACAGCUCUUUUCCUAGCACCUCUUGCCACUUGGUUGGGUACACACCUCAAGGACAUGGCCUGUACACUGAAGUUGCUGCUGCAGGAAUGAUCUGCUGUUUUCCUGACGUUUCCACUCAGAGAUGCCACUGUACUUGGAGGAAUUUUGAAAUAUUCACACACAAACUGCUUCUGAGGAAAAAGAAGUCAUCUGGCAGGAUGAAAAAAACUAAUGCACUCUCUGAUAUGACAUUGUGUCAAGGCAUACAAAGAGAAGUCUUGGGAAUGGAGAUUAAGAGGGAACUUCCAGAUGUCACCAGAACACUAGCGAUGCAAGGCUGCUGGUACCUCAUGAUGCCCACAAGUAUGCAGCUGUCUACACCAACCAGCAGUGUGGCUGAGGAGUGGACCAGGUCUGAACUGUGCCAUCAGUGGAUCACCAGAAGGAAUCAUUGAAGAAGUUUUCCUUCUAUGUUGGUUUCUAAGCAAUGAGGAAGGUACAAUGCACUGCAUAACAGUAUACAAUAACUACCCUUAUGGAAGGUGGUUACAAAAGACCGUGAAAGAGAUGAACUUCAGAUCCAGGGUCACAAGGAAACUUCUUACAAUCAAAACUCUGUUUGCUCACCUCUGAUGUUUGCAGAAGUGACAACUAAGUCUGCUAGUUGAAGUUUUUCUACUAUACUGGAGAUGUCUGCAACCUAGUGUUCAGUGCAACUAAAUAGAAGACUGUAAACGUGAGUAGGAUCUAAGAUGAGCUACUACUGUUCAAAUUAGUGUGUCAAAGUCUUCCUUGUUCCCAAAAUGGCAUUUUACAGAAUUUCCUUAACUUAUAUUUUACUUAUAUUUUAUCAUAUAUUUUUGUAAAUGACAUCAAAAUAUGUGAAAUAUCAGAUUUUUCUAUUGAAAAUACAUGAAAUCACUGAAAUGAUGCAGUGGGUAGGAUAGGUUAGCUGCUGCCAGCCACUGCUUAGGGACCUGAUCAUCAUAGGUACUCUCAUGAAUGUUCAUUUAUAAUGAAUUUCCAGAGGCAUUUGACUGAAUAUUACAAUGCCUUGUAAUCAUGGCUGUUUCUGUAGUAAGAAACAGUAGUGUCAUUUUCAGCCCUGACUGCUUCAAAGAAUUAAAUUAAGAGUGGCAGGUAUUUUAGUGAGAGCUUAGCUAAUUGUAUAUCUGGAGGUGUAAUGAAGCCCUGAAAUAUUUCUUCCCCAUGAGAGGUGAGAGUGCUGGCUAUUACAAUAGCUUAGUUCUUUUUUGCUUGACAGUUGAAAGGCUUUUUUUAAAUAACACCAGGAAGUAAAGAGCUUUCCUAGGCACCCCUUUCCUUUCAGAAUGCUGGAUGCCCUGGCCCAGGAGAGGCUUUGAAACCUUCUCCUGUUUCUUCAACACUUGAUGGUGAUUGUUUGACUGGAGAUUUACAGCAGACUUGAAUCCCAAAGCUUUUAAACAGCUGAAGUUACAGAAGCUUGAAAUGGUGUUUGGCUUCAUCAGAGUGAUAUUGGUAUCAUCAUCCGACGUCUUUCUACAUUCCAGCAGUCAAAUGUUGCUACCACUGAAAACACCAGAACAGCUUAAAGAAAAAGCAGUUUAUAGGUCUUAUCCUCCAGGCAUGUUUGUGUAUGUCUGAACUCCAACCACAUCAGUAAUGUUACUAGCUUUAAUGGAAUCUCUCCUGUGAUAGUUUAUCGCAUGUAUAAGAAUUUGUAUGAUGAAGGCCUCAGUUAGUUAUCUCCAAGGGGAAGCAGCCAAGGAAGCAAUGAACAGGGAGGAAAGAAGAUUUCCCCUCCUGCUCUUACAGAUAGCCCCUUCCAGUUAGGGUUGAGAAGACCUGAUGGAGCCAGAGAGUAUGUAGGGGUAUGUCUGCAAAACAUCUGUUGCUUGCGCAGUGUUUUCUUUCACAGAAUGGGAGAAUCAUAGCGUGGCUGAUAUGGGAAGAGGCUUCUGGAGACUGCCUAGUCCAAACUCCCUGCUUGAGCAGGGUCAGCUAGAGGAGGUCACUCAAAGCUAUAUCCAAUCAGGUAUUUUUGAACUCCGAGGAGAAACAUCCAACAACUCCUCUGGGCAACCUGUGCCACUCUGAUCAUCUUCAUAUUGAAUUUUAUUUUUCUUAUGUUUAGAUAGAAUUUCUUGUGUUCAGUUUGUUUCCAUCGCCUCUUGUCCUAUCCCUGGGCACCACUGAUAUGAAUGUUGGUCCAUGAAAGUCCCAUGUUGCAUGUAAAUAUGUAGGCGACUAAAUUUGUACCCUUGUCUCCCCUCCAUCAUCUUUUCAUAAGAAGCUAAGAUGCAAGAAAAGAAAAAGAGAUUGCAUGUUCUUCACAUGAACAUUUUUGUAACUACCAAAUGAAGGGUUCCAUUGCUACUUGCUCCAUUAAAGCCACAAUACAACAAUAUUUGAAUUGACACUGCAAAACAGCAAAGCAGAAGUUCCUGCAGUCAAAAAUAAAAAGGGAUAUAAGUGUGGAGAUGCUUUAUGUCUGUAAGAAGAAGGAAUUACUGUGUAUACAUUAAGCAAAAUCCAUGUAUCUAUUAAGUAAGAGAUAAAAGGAUUGCAUCAGUGAUAAUGUUCCCUGAUAUAAUAACAGCAAAAAGGAGAAACUAUUCCAGAGAAGAAUCCAGUUCAAUAUUGAAAUAAUAUUUUCAAUUUAUAAAAUAUUCUGUCAGUAGUGAUUCUUUCUGUCAUUAGUUUUGUUACUACUGUUAUCUUCAAUGUCCCUAAUUCAGAUGUAAACAUAGUGAUAGCAUUUCCCAUGGCUGUAAGAACUGGCUUUGUGUGGAAAAGGAAAGAAUUAAAAGAAAAGUCAUUUGAAAGGAAAAAUCUUUUCUUCUUCCUUUUUCUUGUCCCUAAAAACAAAAGGAGUGGAGGUAUGACUAUCAAAAAAAGACCCAGCAAAACCAAACAACAACAACAAAAAUACCAAAAAAUCUUGGCAAAGAUGGAAUGUAACUUAUUGUGUGAAGCAACAGAAGGCAGUAAGCCAGGAAAAAAAGAGAUAAGAAUGUCUUUGAAAAUAUUAAAUUAUAGCAUGCCUUGAAUUAUCUCCUUUAAAUUCUUAAAAUGUUCGUAGUUAUUGUUUGAAUUACUGCAACGGAAAAAAUGCAUAUAAAGCAUAUAAUAAUAAAAGACUAUGUAUUUUUCUUUUACUCCACUGUAUUCUGUUCACUGUAGUAAAUUAUGUGUGUGCAUUGUCAUAUACAGGCAUGUAUGUCAUUAUACAUUUGCUAGGUCUUUAUAUUUUUGUAUAAUUAUUUCAUAUUUAAAAUUUUAAAACUAUACACUUUGCAAUCCAAUUUGCAGAAGUCCUACUAAGUCCGACAAAAAUGAACCUAGGAAAAGAACACAAACAAAGUUGUCUAAAACUAGCUGGGCAACUUACUUUCUGGAAAGAAUGUUUUGCAAAAGGGAAUUGAAAGAUUAAUUGCAAAGUUUUCUUCAAAACUUUAGAAGAUAUUCUGAUGUAAACCUUGAAAAUAAAAUGAAUGAAGAUGUAAUUGGUAUCUUACUUGUGUUCAACAGUAGUGUUUGAGCAGGUAUCAUAGUAUAAUAGAAUGGCCUGGGUAGAAAAGACCACAAUGAUCAUCAAGUUUCAACCCCCCUGCUAUGUGCAGGGUCACCAACCACUAGACCAGGCUGCCCAGAGCUACAUCCAGCCUGGCCUUGAAUGCAUCUAGGGAUGGGGCAUCCACAACCUCCUUGGGUAACCUGUUCCAGUGCAUCACCACUCUCUGUAUGAAAAACUUCCUCCUAAUAUCUAAUCUAAACCUCCACAUCCUAGUUUAAAACCAUGAGAAGAAGCAAUGGAGGCCAAUGUAGCAAAUCAGCUACAACUUCUGUAUACCUAUAAAGAUAAAUCCCAUUCUGUUCCUUAGGAGUCUAAUAGUGUACCAUCAUGUACCUGUGUGUAUUGUACAACAGUGACAUCAUUCGUACUGACUGGAAUAGGUAUCUAGAAGGAGG